AUGCCCCUUCUCUUUGCCAUUGCUUUCUUUAUAUAUUUCAGUUUUUUUUCUCCUGGAAGAUCCUGGAAAGUCAGAUCCUGAAGACCAAGCUACAAGAACUCCAAAGCAAAAAGAAGGAUGGAGAUGUGGAUCACCACGCUGAUGCAUAUCGGGUUUGUUGUUCCCAUUUUGUUUUGGGUUCACAAAUCUCUUUGAGUCAUUGUAACCCCUUUGUUACCCACACAUGCCAUCAUUUCAGAAUAAAAUGAAGCCGCCUCCAUUCCCUUGAAUGAUACAGAGUGAUCCGAAUUGAUUUGGAAGCUUAUUCACACUGCUGAAGAUGCAGAUCGGUUCAGAUCUUUCAGGAAAACUCAGGAAAAAACCCAGUAUAGAAUAUUCCGGGUUAAGGGGGGGGUUACUAACCCCCCCCCCCCCCAAGUGCAUCAGGUGCAUCAAUUGCUUUCAGGACAUGUGUGAACAACAAGGAUUCAACCUGGAUUCAUCCUGGAUACUUUUCGUAGUGUGAAUGGGGCCUAGAUUUGUACAAUUAUAUUGUUAUGGACACUCUGGCAUUCCAGACUAACACCGAAUGAAAACCUCAUGGAAAACAGGUUAUUACCUGGAUGUCUGUUGUACUUGUAACUGACAAUUUUUCAACUGUUCCCUAACUUACUGUAUAGUGCUGUCUAUUGCCCUCUGUUUACAUAUACUGUGUGUGUACAACUGGUUGGCAUUUAUGUGAUUUUCUCUAUAAACACGUAAAAUAUUUGA
Sceloporus undulatus (fence lizard) is the source of this 750-nucleotide long non-coding RNA. RefSeq lists it as uncharacterized. NCBI's taxonomy places the organism in Eukaryota, Metazoa, Chordata, Lepidosauria, Squamata, Phrynosomatidae. The record is from RefSeq and is a predicted model, not a curated record. The transcript has 2 exons.